This is a long non-coding RNA of Capsicum annuum, 3823 nucleotides long. RefSeq lists it as uncharacterized. The record is from RefSeq and is a predicted model, not a curated record. NCBI's taxonomy places the organism in Eukaryota, Viridiplantae, Streptophyta, Magnoliopsida, Solanales, Solanaceae. The transcript is spliced from 8 exons.
CACAUUUAAUUUUCUGAGGCAAUAUAUCUCCCUCUUUUCCUCCAUCUCAUCCCUGCCAAACAUCGAACAGAAACAGCAAAAAAAAAAGGUUGUUCUGUUUUUGCCUUCAGGUACAGUUUUCUGAUUAAAUUCUGUUUUUGACUUCAGAUGCAGCUUUUUGAUUUAAUGAAAGAAGAAGAGCUAAUUUGAUAUGUUAAUUAAAUCACUUAUUUGGGAUUUUGUUUGGGAUUUCUGAUCCUAACGGAAAAGAAGACCUAAUUUGAUAGCUAAAUUAAACUGCUUUUUUGAGUUUUUUUAAUUCUAACAAAGAAUAAGACCCUUAUUUUUGAGAUUUCAAAUUGGAUUCUGGCCGGCUAUUUUCAAGGUAAAUAGGUAACCACAUAAGUCAAAAUUAAUUUUAUGAUCUGUUUGUGUUAUAGAUUGAACAUGUGCUUGUGCUUUUUGGGUUUUUAGAUUUUGACCUAUAAUUUCGAAUUGGGUUUUUUGAAUAGAGUAAAUAAAUAACGUAAAGAACCUCAACAUGGUCAUUUUAUUUGGUUCAAUUUCUUGCUGGAUAGCAUUGUGCGAGACGCAUAUUGAUAAAGAAAAAAUUUAUUGCUUCCUGAAAGAACAAAAGAGUUGUAUGUAUUUUUAGGAUUACUUUUACAUUUCAUGGAUGGUUAUUCGGAAGAAGUUAAUUUGUGAGAAUAUUAUUUUUGGUUAUUUGUGUUUUUUGAAGAUGUGAGCCUCCUCUUUUUUCAAUUUGGAGAGAGCUUUCUUUCUCUAUCCAAGCAUGUAAUCGUACAUGUGAGGACUGACUGCAUUUCCAAAUACAACAUGCUAAUAAAAAAUCUAAUGCAAAAAGCACAGUUUCACGCGGAAAAGAAUAAUGCAAGACGCUAAACAAAAAGAGCAUAAAUGUGAGGCCUAGAAAAUUUUUUGUUUUAGUUAAAAUAUACUUGCCUCGGACAUAGAUACAGAGGGUAAAAAGUCCUGCAUAAUAGUAACCGAAAGAGAAGUUCUAUUAGUUUGGAAUCCUAAGAGAGUACUUCUCCAAUUCCUAAAAGGAAAUAGUUCGAUUAGAAGAACCACCAUGCAUAUAAACAGAACAAUCAUAAUUCAUAAGUCCUGGUCUCUUUUGAGUAUAGGGUAUAUUGUAAACAGUAAUUAGUCUUUGGCACCAAAGAAAGUCGAGAAGGUUGGAAAGCAAGGUGGUUUCACUGGAUAUGUUGUUGUAGUAAUUAUAAGUCAUGGAAAGGAGCAAAAUUCCAACUACAAUCGCCUGAUAAACUAGGUAUAUAUAGUUGCAGAAAUUUGACGACAUGUGCCUCUGAGAGGCCAAGGUAAAAACUAUAGAACAAAUCGAUUUUGAUGUUAAGACUGGGGGCUGGAAGGGGGACCGGGAAAGGGUACAAUUCAGAAGGAUAUGGAUGACAAUGUGCUGCUAGACAAUGUGCUGCUACUACACAAAUAUCAUUUGGUACAUACAAAAUUAUUCCAUAUAACAUGAGUCAAAAGAGAGACCAGUUUUAGCAUCUUGAUGAAAGGCAGAGCAUUAUAUAUCAAGCCAACUUCACUUGUGAUGCCACUAGGACACAGGAACAAGAAGGUACUUUAUCUGCACGAAUAAAAUCAAUACCCAAACAUCAUCUUUGAGGUGCAAUUUGUUAGAUUGUCUAUGGUAUGUUGCCUUCACUUAUGUUAUUUCUGUAAAGUUCGUGACUCUUUAUGUUUUUUUUAAGUUUAAUGUGUAUCAAUUAUCAAUCUAUUUUUUACUUAUUUCAAAUACAUAUUCUUCUUCUUCCUCUUUUGAAUUUAGUGUUAAUAUUCUUCUAAAAUUUGUAGAGGUGCAUUUAAAAACAUAUCUCACCUCACUUUUGUGCUUAAAAAUGUAGUCGUCUCUAAAUUUGAUGUUUAAUAUAAUUUCUAGCUCAAAACAUUACACUCAAUGGGCUUUCUUGGUUUUAGUAUCAAGAAAAUGUAAUAGUGAUAGUCGGUAAUCUCAUAAUUCACCUAUUUAAUCCAAUGUCAAAGUUUGUCUGUACAUUUUUUGCGAUUUAUUCAGCAGAAAACUAUCGCUAAAGAAUCUAACUUUAGAUGCUUUUAAAGUUAUUGAUUUUAAGAAAACUGAAGCUUAUUAAGUAUCAGGGUGUAUUGUACGCGGCCUUACCUUGCAUUAGACUAAUUAAAAAUCAAAUGCUUAGGAACAACAUCAUUGGAAUGUGUCUUCUUAUUUGCCUCGACCUAUAAUAAUGAAACUUCUACAUUAUUAGCAAUCCAAGCCAAAAAAUGCAUAUAUGGAUUGUUACUGUUCUCGAAAUAUUUACUUUGCUAUUUUCCUUUUUUUGGCCAAACAGCAGUUAAUGACUUGAUUAAGUACCUUUUUUUCUCAUCUUAUCUUCAAGGCUCCUUGGGUUUUGGUGAAGAAGCACUCCAAUUUCUUCCAGGCAAAAUUGGAUCAUAGGAUGUUAAUGAUGUACAAGCUGCUAUAGAUCAUGUCAUAGAUAUAGGACGUGCAGUUCCAUCUAAAAUAAAUAUGCUUGGUAGUUCCCUUGGUGGAUUCCUGACAAUACACUUGAUUGGCCAGGUCAAAACUCCUAUACUCUUCUUGCUAGGUGCCAAGGACCUCCGUGUACCAAUAUAGACAAGCUUAGAGGAGCAGAUAAGAAAAAGAUGGAGAGACAGGACAAGAGUGGCAGAAAGAGAAACAAAAACUGCUCUGCGAAAACCAAUAUGAGGAAGAGAGGUAUUAGCGUGACUAAAGGCAUGAGAUGGAACAAAUAGAAGUUUUUGCAGAAAGAGUCUAUGGAAGCAAAAAGAAUGGGACUUAAAGAAGAAAUGCGCUGAGAUUAAAAGGUUGCUAGCUUUAAAGCGGCUAAUGUAAUGAAUUGCCCGAAGAAUAUUGGCGAAAGAAUCAAUAGUGGUAAGGAUGCUGGAACAUGAAAAUGGAUUGGGAAAACAAUUUAGCAACAGUAAGUAUACAUUCAAUCAAAGAUUUGAUGAUCCAUUACUGCAUUGAUUUGCUUCACCAGACCCAAGGCUCUUUCAUAAACAACCUCUCUAUCUCCUUCAAAGAAGUAGGGGUAAGGGCUACAUAUGAUGCUGGAACAUGAAAAUGGAUCAAGAAAACAACUUGGUAGAAGAUUGACAUGAAAUCCUUGGCAGAAUCACUGAGAUAUCACAUGAAGAGAGACGUCAAAAUUUUGACUGUGAAUGACGGAGGCGUUGUUUACUAUUGAAGCAGAACGGUGACUGGAAAUUAUUUGUAUCAUACUACAGAGGUGUUCAGUGAUGAAAAUCCAAAUGGUUCCAUUGUUCUGUGAACAAUUCUGUCACUGUCCAGACCCAAGGUGGAUGCUGCAUCUGUAUUUGCUCGAUGGCUUAUUUCUGAGUUCUUGGAGUGUCCUCUAGUAUGUAUGAUUAAUAAUGUGCAAGUAAUGAACAAGUGGCAGGAGGUGCUUAUAGUGUCGUCGUCGUGUUAUUGACGUUUUGUCGACUCUAAUCUAUGUUUGAGGGGAAAACUCGAAUAACCGGGGGACCUAUGCUAGCAAGGCAACAACCAUAGAUGACUUGUGUGCGUAACUGAUGAACUUUAAGCUAUUACACAUUAUAUUUUCAGGGAUUGUAUCUUCUUGUUUAAUCAUAUUUGAUAGGAAUAUGUUGACCUUUUUGUUUGAGAAUUAAUACUCUGCGAAUCAUUGUCCCAUUAGUUGAAGAGGUUUCUCCAUUGUGGUGUAAUUGUGAUUACCAAAAAGUAUUAAGGACUAUCCUAUAAAGCUUGGAGGAUGUUCGAAUAAUCUAUUUCUCGAAAUAUGCUAAUUUGAUAUGUUAAUCUUUUGUUAAA